GGGUAGCAAAUGCGCCAUUCCUCCAUGAACUAUUAAAAGGAAAAUGGAGACAUGCUCCCUAUACUUAGGGUAAAUAAACUAUUUGCGAUAUAAUAAAACCAAAAAAAAAGUAAUUUGACCCAUUAAUGAAGAGACAAAGAAAUGAAGAGCUGAAAAAAAGCUCCAAGAACAGGGGUGGGAAGACAUCUCAGUGUUGUUGCAGAUGUAAUUAUUGAAGAUGAGGUCACUGGCGUCUACUGGAUGACUGCUGUCCUUUCAAAACGAUGACCACAGGGAGAACACGCUGUGAGGACAAAGGCGGAGACUGCAGUAACGCAGCUGCAAGCCAAGGACUGCCAGAGAUUACCAGCAAGCCCCGGAAGCCAGGAAGAGGGAGAAAAGGAUUCCCCUACAGGUUUCAGAGGGAGCAUGAUCCUGAUGGCAUCUUGAUUUCAAACCUCUAGACUCUAGAAGCGUGAGACAACGAGUUUCUGUUGUUUUAAGCCACCCAGUUUAUGGUACUUUGUUAUGGCAGCCCCGGAAACUAAGACACAAGGUCAGAACGUAAAGCAUUUGGGAUUUUGAUGGUUGUCGCCAAAUUACCCACUUCCCAAUAGCGAUCGUCCCAAUUUACACUUUUCGAAGCAACGCAUGAGAAUGCCUGCUUUGCCUCAACCUUACGACACAGCGUAUCAUCAGACCUCUGGGUUUGUGCCAGUUAGGUGAUUUUAAUGUGAGUUUUUCCUAUUCUGAUGAAUUUAAGUACCUUUCGUGUUGGAGAGCCAUCUGUAUUUCCUUUCCUGUGAAAUGUCUUUUUCAUUUUCUUAAUCCAUUUUCGAAAAGGGAUUGUUCAUCUGGCUUUCUUAGCUUCUCUUCUAGGAGCUCUUUAUAUAUUAGAGAGAUUAGCCUUUUGUCUCUGAUCUAAGGCCAGUCUGUCAUUGGUCUUUUAAUUUUCUUUCUGGUUUUUAUGCCACACAAAAAUUUUUGAGACCGGUCAGUUUGCUAGCACUGGUGGAAGCAUUGGAUCGAUAAAGCACUCAACACACUUAGGUUCAUAAUAUGUGUGAUGAAAAAGAAAGUUUACAGAGCACUCUCACCCAGCUCAAGAAUAUAUGGCAUGAUUCCUGGAACAACUUCACCGCUUGAGACACUAUUUACUGGACAUUUCUCAGUGGGGACUAAUGGGACCACGAAGAGAGAAAUGUAUUACAGUUAAAGGAAGUGCUGAGAGGAAAACAUCAGAGAGCAGAACACAUACAAGCACCGAAAUAACUCCAUAGACUGGAAGUCAUUGUUGAAUGGCAAUAACACUGAAAAAAAAAAAAAAAUCAAAGCGAGGG
Molecule: long non-coding RNA, 1319 nt
Organism: Felis catus (domestic cat)
Lineage: Eukaryota; Metazoa; Chordata; Mammalia; Carnivora; Felidae
Exons: 2
Source: RefSeq, a predicted model, not a curated record